GACGAACGCUGGCGGCGUGCUUAACACACGCAAGUCGAACGGAAAGUCCCUUCUUUUGUGGGGUGCUCUAGUUGCGACCGGGUGAGUAACACGUGAGUAACCUGCCCUUGACUUUGGGAUAACUUCAGGAAACUGGGUCUAAUACCGGAUAGGAGCUCCUGCUUCAUGGUGGGGGUUGGAUAGUUUCGGCGGUUGGUGAUGGAAUCGCGGCCUAUCAGCUUGUUGGUGGGGUAGUGGAUUACCAAGGCUUUGACGGGUAGCCGGCCUGAGAGGGUGACCGGACACAUUGGAACUGAGAUAAGGCCCAGACUCCUACGGGAGGCAGCAGUGGGGAAUAUUACACAAUGGGCGGAAGCAUGAUGCAGCAAAGCCGCGUGCGGGAUGACGGCAUGCGGGUUGUAAACCGAAUUCGCCUGUGACGAAGCGUGAGUGACGGUAAUGGGUAAAGAAGCACCGGCUAACUACGUG
Molecule: ribosomal RNA, 468 nt
Filed under: uncultured bacterium
Lineage: Bacteria
Description: partial 16S ribosomal RNA
Rfam family: Bacterial small subunit ribosomal RNA
Source: RNAcentral